CUCUGAGCACUUGUACCUGCGGAGCCCCGGGGGGAGGCAGCGUUAGAGAGUGGGGAAGCCCGCCCCUGGAGAGCUGACCAGAACAGGGCUUGGGAAACAUGACCCUUCAGGGGCGAAGGCAGCUGCUGAGCCUGGGUGGAGGUGAGAGAGGAGCCAGGGAUGGGGGCACUAGAGCUUUUGAAGAGGAAAGGGGGACUCACUGCUCUGAGGCCAGGAUCAUCUUGGACAGCAUGGGGUCCACGGGCAGCUCUGCCAUCUUCCGGCCCAGCUAGGAGAGAGAGAGACGUCAGAGACUCGUUCCCCCACCUUCUGAUCACUCCUUGGGCCCAUCUAGCCUGCUAUCCCAUCUGCUGGCCACCCUGGAUCAGACCCAUAGGCCCAUCUAGCUCUGCCCUUCUCUCCCCAAGACAGCAAAGCCCUCCCCAUGCUACGACUCACUGGUCAGUGUUAUCCCACAGAGGGAAGGGUGUGUGUGAAGAUUCCUUCCUGACCCCCAGGCAUGAGGCUCAGAUCCUGCCCUGGAGCAUGGGGGUGUCCCAACAGGGGAGUCCUGGGUCCCAACAAGCAAAGGUGCCCCUAGCAGCACAGAGACUCCCUACUUUUGCUACGGGAGGACCUCCCCCUUACCUUGGUGAGCUCCCCAAGGUGGUUGAGCGCGCCCAGGGCAUACAGCUGCUCCAGGGCCAGCACCAGGGUCUCAUGGGGUGGCGGGUCCAUGAAGUCAAAGUGGAUGAGGUCGUUGAUGCCUGCGAGAGAGAGGGGGCAGGCAAGGUGGCGGGAUUUAAAUCAGCAAGCAGGAAACCUCGAUUGAAAUCACCGCUCUGCCUCUUGUUUUGCAUUGGUACUUUGUAGUUAUUUGCCUAAAGCCAGAUUGAUCCUCACUGGUGGAGAACUGUUAGAACGUGCCAGUCUGCAUCUCCAGCUAGCCUUCGCAGUAACCAGACGCUUCUUUUUGCUAGCCAGGACACAGUAGAUGGAUACACCUUUAUCUAAGCAAUUAGAAGCUUUGCUGCUAUGGGCAUUCUUCAUUUUUACAUUGUUUAUGAUGUUAGAAAAUAGCAAAGGAUGGGUCUCCGGUUGAUGAACCGUUUACCCGUGAUGUGUCUCAAGCGGUGUUUUGGGAUGGAAAUUGGAAUUGGAUUUUGGCCUAAAAAACCAGCAUUGUAAAGUUGUAAAGCUGACCGAAAGGUGCUGGAGCCAUCAAAAAUAAACGUUUAGUUAAACGUGA
Long non-coding RNA from Trachemys scripta elegans, 1228 nucleotides. RefSeq lists it as uncharacterized. The record is from RefSeq and is a predicted model, not a curated record. Lineage: Eukaryota; Metazoa; Chordata; Testudines; Emydidae. The transcript has 2 exons.